AAUCUGAAUUUGCUAAUUGCACCACAUGUGUUUUUCUUUGAAACAAACUUGCUUUGGCGGUGGGCCCAGCCUGCCGCCAGAGGUCUAAACUUGCAACCAAUUUUUUAUCAACUUGUCACACCAGAUUAUUACUAAUAGUCAAAACUUUCAACAACGGAUCUCUUGGUUCUCGCAUCGAUGAAGAACGCAGCGAAAUGCGAUACGUAAUAUGAAUUGCAGAUAUUCGUGAAUCAUCGAAUUUUUGAACGCACAUUGCGCCCUCUGGUAUUCCGGAGGGCAUGCCUGUUUGAGCGUCGUUUCUCCCUCAAACCGCUGGGUUUGGUGUUGAGCAAUACGACUUGGGUUUGCUUGAAAGACGGUAGUGGUAAGGCGGGAUCGCUUUGACAAUGGCUUAGGUCUAACCAAAAACAUUGCUUGCGGCGGUAACGUCUACCACGUAUAUCUUCAAACUUUGACCUCAAAUCAGGUAGGACUACCCGCUGAACUUAAGCAUAUCAAUAAGGCGGAGGAA
Molecule: ribosomal RNA, 511 nt
Filed under: Candida albicans
Lineage: Eukaryota; Fungi; Ascomycota; Pichiomycetes; Serinales; Debaryomycetaceae
Description: eukaryotic LSU rRNA
Rfam family: 5.8S ribosomal RNA (bases 143-296)
Source: RNAcentral